This is a long non-coding RNA of Apis florea (little honeybee), 1505 nucleotides long. RefSeq lists it as uncharacterized. The record is from RefSeq and is a predicted model, not a curated record. Lineage: Eukaryota; Metazoa; Arthropoda; Insecta; Hymenoptera; Apidae.
AGAUGAAGAAAUGAAAAAGUUGAAGAAAUUGAUUUGAUUGAUGAAUUUCACGUUUUUUUUCAUCACAGAUUUAAUAUAUGACUUCUAACAAAAUAGUAUAACAAUUGCUAUCUGAUUGUAAUUUUAUAGUUUUGAAAAGGAAAAAAAAAAUUAAGUGACAGAGGUGGUAAUCAUCAGAAGUAUCUCAGAAGUAAUAUAAUUAGCUAUCUUGGCUAUAUUGAGAUCAAAUCAAAGAAAAAUUAUUACGGAAGAAUAUUACACUUUUAAAAAUUGUGAAAAAAUUUAGGAGACAUUCUAUUGAUUGGAACAUCUUUCAUAGUCUCAGAAUAAUUAAAAACAUCUGUUGGAGGAAAACAAGAAAUUUAAUAUAACUCGAAAAUAUAUGGAGAAUCGACGUAACAUUAUGAAUAUAUUUUUUUGUCAUUAUCGUCGUAUCCUAUUCAGAAAGAGUAGAAGAAAAGAAAAAUUUUCAACAUCUGCAUGUAAGGAUUCGAUAAGAACGACUAGAAAAAGUCAGAACUCGUUGCACAGUGGUAUAGAAUCAAUUUACUAGGUUCGUUAUUGGUUGACUUCUUUAUUUUCCCAGAAAAGAAAACAAAAUUCUAAGAAAAAGAAAAAAAAAUCAAAAGAAGAUAAAAAAAUAAAAUCUUAUUAAAAUAUUUCAUUUUUCCAUUCACAACUUCGUUUUGAUUGAUCAUUUUUCAACAAAAAAAAUUCUCAAGAAAAUCAAGAAUUUCUCAAAAGAAAAAAAAAAUGAAAAGACGAAAAAGAACUCGAAAAUCGACCUCGGUCCGGCGGAAAAAUUGAUUCAGCACAGUCUGGAGAGUCAUGGCGAGUAUGAGAGAAGAGCUGGGGGCGCGUGUGCGCAGUUCUCUUAACCAACAUGUCCGCCCGGGUGCUCUGGAUAGUCAUGGUUAUGCAGCGCGAUCCGUUACACAUCUUCGUCAGCUGAAUCCUUGGUUUUUGUACUGCAUACAUCCGCGAGGUGCGUGUAUUGUAAAAGAGGUUGGCUUAGAGUCCAGUCUCUAAAUCUUUGCCUCCUAGUGGAGGAUUACCUCCAGGUUGAGCCGGUUGUGAUUCCCGGCAGUGCACGAGGUGCGAGCAACCACGGGGAUACUGGAGCCGUGGCACGACGAAUAGCCAGAGUACUCAAGAGAGUGGAGAAUCGCGGGAGAACCAGGGAGAGACAGAGACAGGUAGAUCCUUACUAGCGGUGAAAUACGAAGCGGGAAAGAGAGGGAGAAGCUUGAGGCAGGCGCGCGUAUUGAUUCCCGCGUGACGUUUAUACGGUGAGGUGAGAAAGCUGCAACCGGAAGAGUCGUGCCGUUUCCUUCGCCGCUGAAAAACUGAACGGGGAAGAUACGGAUUCGAGCAACAAUUUGGAGUUCCUCGUUUUUGAGCCUUGUCCACUGGAAGGAGAUUGGAGAUCAGUGGACCAAAAUGAGAGAGGUCCAAGUCUGCUCGAGCAGGGACCCGUUGGCCCUUCGCGCGAGAAAUGAUUUUUA